This is a long non-coding RNA of Tetranychus urticae (two-spotted spider mite), 1177 nucleotides long. RefSeq lists it as uncharacterized. The record is from RefSeq and is a predicted model, not a curated record. NCBI's taxonomy places the organism in Eukaryota, Metazoa, Arthropoda, Arachnida, Trombidiformes, Tetranychidae.
AUUAUGCGUUUGUUUGCACGUUGUUAUGGCAUUCGUUUUCUUUUGUUUCAAUUUGUAUCAAUAAUUGUUACUAAUUGAGCUCAAUUAAUUUAAUUUUCCUACUAAUCUUUUGGACGUCUGAUUAUCACCGCUGGAAUCAAAUCCUCGUUUAAAUAGUCUCGAUUAAUAUCUGACUUUUAGAUCAAAGGAUAGGAUUCGGCUCAAUUUUUUACCAUAAUUUUAUUCAACUUGGUGCAAUAGUCACAUGGAGACGUGAACUCAACGCUAUUCGAUAAUAUCUACCAUUUAAGGAUAGGUUGAAUGUACCAUUACAUCACAGCGUAUCAUCUAACAAUGAACAUACAACAAUCAACAAUUUAUAAGGAAAAACAUGUUACUAUGGACGGGGACGAUUAGCACUUCAUUAAAAUCCAAAAGUCCAAAGGAAAUAUUUGCUCAAAUUUCUCACCCACCAUACACCAAAACAAUUGGACAAAAUUGGAAAUGAAUUGAACAAUUGCAAUAAAAUUUAAAAUCUCAGAUGAGAUGGAUGACGAACUGGAAAUGGAAGUUUUAUCUGGAUUAGAAAAUUAAAUCCCAUCAGAUGUUGGAGCAUUUUCUGCAUGAGAUCUCUACAAAGAAACUGGAGAUUCAGUUUUUCUUAAAGUUAUCGCUAUAAAUAUAUUGAGAUGUAUUCUAAUCUCAAUUAGUUCUAAUCCAUAUUGUUCAUAUUAGAUAUAAAUGCAGUACUUCAGGGUGGACUAGAUAAUUUACAUCUUAACAAGUUGCCUACUCAUAUUGAAUUGGUUUCUGUAGGAACACAGAAAAGGCAUGAAUUACAAGCUCAAAAGUAAUGGAGGUAAAAUUACUUGAGCUGGUUUAGUUUUGUAUUUUUACCGAUUAAUUUAAAUAAAAUCUUUAAUGAUAACCAUUAGCAGUAGCAAUAAAAUAUUAACUAAAAAAAUUCAUUCAGUUACCUUGACCCUUACCUUUUAUUACUUUGAAUCAUUUUCCUUCUGAAAAAAGCAUCAGUAUUAUGUUGAAAGUCACGAAACAGAUUUGCAUCUUGGAGAGACGAGAACAAUUAACUAUUAACAAAUUUUACUUUCACAUUAAAUUUAUGUACAUUUAUUUUGUCGAGUAACAAUUAUUAUGUUAUUACAUUAAAGAAAGCCAAACAUAACAAAAAAACAUUAAU